AUAUACAUCAACGUAGGAAAAAAAAUGGUUAAAGGGUGUUCAGGUUACUUAUUAGGUUAUAUGCUUACCGACCCCGUUAAGGACUCGAUGAUCUAGAGACCA
Strigops habroptila (Kakapo) is the source of this 102-nucleotide long non-coding RNA. RefSeq lists it as uncharacterized. NCBI's taxonomy places the organism in Eukaryota, Metazoa, Chordata, Aves, Psittaciformes, Psittacidae. The record is from RefSeq and is a predicted model, not a curated record. The transcript has 3 exons.